AUUGAACGCUGGCGGCAGGCCUAACACAUGCAAGUCGAACGGUAGCACAGAGAGCUUGCUCUCGGGUGACGAGUGGCGGACGGGUGAGUAACGUCUGGGAAACUGCCCGAUGGAGGGGGAUAACUACUGGAAACGGUAGCUAAUACCGCAUAACGUCGCAAGACCAAAGUGGGGGACCUUCGGGCCUCACACCAUCGGAUGUGCCCAGAUGGGAUUAGCUAGUAGGUGGGGUAAUGGCUCACCUAGGCGACGAUCCCUAGCUGGUCUGAGAGGAUGACCAGCCACACUGGAACUGAGACACGGUCCAGACUCCUACGGGAGGCAGCAGUGGGGAAUAUUGCACAAUGGACGCAAGCCUGAUGCAGCCAUGCCGCGUGUAGGAAGAAGGCCUUCGGGUUGUAAAGUACUUUCAGCGGGGAGGAAGGCGGUGAAGUUAAUAGCUUCACCGAUUGACGUUACCCGCAGAAGAAGCACCGGCUAACUCCGUGCCAGCCGCCGCAGUAA
This 504-nucleotide ribosomal RNA is filed under the name uncultured bacterium. RNAcentral's name for it is "partial 16S ribosomal RNA". It matches the Rfam family "Bacterial small subunit ribosomal RNA", at positions 29 to 523 of the family's 1533-position model. The record is from RNAcentral.